Molecule: ribosomal RNA, 392 nt
Filed under: Ochromonas tuberculata
Lineage: Eukaryota; Chrysophyceae; Chromulinales; Chromulinaceae
Description: partial small subunit ribosomal RNA
Rfam family: Eukaryotic small subunit ribosomal RNA
Source: RNAcentral
GCUUGUCUCAAAGAUUAAGCCAUGCACGUCUGAGAAUAAAGAGUUUUCUCUGAAUCUGCGAAUGGCUCAUUAUAUCAGUUAUAGUUUAUUUGAUAGUCCUUUACUACUUGGAUAACCGUAGUAAUUCUAGAGCUAAUACAUGCAUCAACUCCCAACUGCUUGUCGGACGGGAUGUAUUUAUUAGAUUGAAACCAAUGCGGGGCAACCCGGAGUGUGGUGAUUCAUAAUAUCUUUCGGAUCGAUUUAUCGAUGCAUCAUUCAAGUUUCUGCCCUAUCAGCUUUGGAUGGUAGGGUAUUGGCCUACCAUGGCUUUAACGGGUAACGGAGAAUUAGGGUUCGAUUCCGGAGAGGGAGCCUGAGAAAUGGCUACCACAUCCAAGGAAGGCAGCAGG